GCCGGAGGAAGGUGGGGAUGAUGUCAAGUCAGCAUGGCCUUUAUGUCCUGGGCUACAUACACGCUACAAUGGCCAACACAAUAGGUUGCUAAGCCGCGAGGUGGCGCCAAUCCAUAAAGUUGGUCUCAGUUCAGAUUGUAGGCUGCAACCCGCCUGCAUGAAGAUGGAGUUGCUAGUAACCGCAGGUCAGCUAUACUGCGGUGAAUACGUUCCCGGGGCUU
Molecule: ribosomal RNA, 221 nt
Filed under: uncultured Leptolinea sp.
Lineage: Bacteria; Bacillati; Chloroflexota; Anaerolineae; Anaerolineales; Anaerolineaceae
Description: partial 16S ribosomal RNA
Rfam family: Bacterial small subunit ribosomal RNA
Source: RNAcentral